Molecule: ribosomal RNA, 98 nt
Rfam family: Bacterial small subunit ribosomal RNA
UUUAUUGGAGAGUUUGAUCCUGGCUCAGGAUGAACGCUGGCGGCGUGCCUAAUACAUGCAAGUCGAGCGAAUGGAUUGAGAGCUUGCUCUCAAGAAGU